Molecule: microRNA precursor, 104 nt
Filed under: Xyrichtys novacula (pearly razorfish)
Lineage: Eukaryota; Metazoa; Chordata; Actinopteri; Labriformes; Labridae
Source: RNAcentral
UCUUGUGACAUUACCUGGUUAUGACCUGGUUAUAACCUGGUUAUAUCCUAAGACAUUACCUGGUUAUAACCUGGUUAUAACCUGGUUAUAUCCUGAGACAUUAC